This 459-nucleotide ribosomal RNA is filed under the name uncultured bacterium. RNAcentral's name for it is "partial 16S ribosomal RNA". It matches the Rfam family "Bacterial small subunit ribosomal RNA", at positions 338 to 795 of the family's 1533-position model. The record is from RNAcentral.
CCUUCGGGAGGCAGCAGUGAGGCAUAUUGGUCAAUGGCCGGAAGGCUGAACCAGCCAUGCCGCGUGAAGGUCAGUGCCCUCUGGGUUGUAACCUUCUUUUAUAACGGAAUAAACCGCGGCACGUGUGCCUUUUUGCAUGUCCUUUAUGAUUAAGGAUCGGCUAACUCCGUGCCCGCAGCCGCGGUAAUACGGAGGAUCCGAGCGUUAUCCGGAUUUAGUGGGUUUAAAGGGAGCGUAGAUGGGUUGUUAAGUUAGUUGUGAAAGUUUGCGGCUCAACCGUAAAAUUGCAAUUGAUACUGGCAGUCGUGAGUACAGUUGAGGUAGGCGGAAUUCGUGGUGUAGCGGUGAAAUGCUUAGAUAUCACGAAGAACCCCGAUUGCGAAGGCAGCUUACUAAACUGUGACUGACAUUGAUGCUCGAAAGUGUGGGUAUCAAACAGGAUUAGAUACCCCUGUAGUC